Non-coding RNA from Acanthosepion pharaonis, 113 nucleotides. The record is from the annotation of a GenBank genome assembly. NCBI's taxonomy places the organism in Eukaryota, Metazoa, Mollusca, Cephalopoda, Sepiida, Sepiidae.
UUACGCCCAGAUCACGUCGAAACAACGGUUCCGUACGAUCACCGAAGUUAAGCAACGUUGAGCCUGGUCAGUGCCUAGAUAUGUCCCCGCUUGGGAAUACCAGGUGUUGUAAG